This 1100-nucleotide ribosomal RNA is filed under the name Leuconostoc lactis. RNAcentral describes it as "bacterial SSU rRNA". It matches the Rfam family "Bacterial small subunit ribosomal RNA", at positions 31 to 1120 of the family's 1533-position model. Lineage: Bacteria; Bacillati; Bacillota; Bacilli; Lactobacillales; Lactobacillaceae. The record is from RNAcentral.
GGAGGGGGGGGGGAUCCCUAAUAAUGCAGUCGAACGCGCAGCGAAAGGUGCUUGCUCCUUUCAAGCGAGUGGCGAACGGGUGAGUAACACGUGGACAACCUGCCUCAAGGCUGGGGAUAACAUUUGGAAACAGAUGCUAAUACCGAAUAAAACUUAGUAUCGCAUGAUACAAAGUUGAAAGGCGCUACGGCGUCACCUAGAGAUGGGUCCGCGGUGCAUUAGUUAGUUGGUGGGGUAAAGGCCUACCAAGACAAUGAUGCAUACCCGAGUUGAGAGACUGAUCGGCCACAUUGGGACUGAGACACGGCCCAAACUCCUACGGGAGGCUGCAGUAGGGAAUCUUCCACAAUGGGCGAAAGCCUGAUGGAGCAACGCCGCGUGUGUGAUGAAGGCUUUAGGGUCGUAAAGCACUGUUGUAUGGGAAGAAAUGCUAGAAUAUGGAAUGAUUCUAGUUCGACGGUACCAUACCAGAAAGGGACGGCUAAAUACGUGCCAGCAGCCGCGGUAAUACGUAUGUCCCGAGCGUUAUCCGGAUUUAUUGGGCGUAAAGCGAGCGCAGACGGUUGAUUAAGUCUGAUGUGAAAGCCCGGAGCUCAACUCCGGAAUGGCAUUGGAAACUGGUUAACUUGAGUGUUGUAGAGGUAAGUGGAACUCCAUGUGUAGCGGUGGAAUGCGUAGAUAUAUGGAAGAACACCAGUGGCGAAGGCGGCUUACUGGACAACAACUGACGUUGAGGCUCGAAAGUGUGGGUAGCAAACAGGAUUAGAUACCCUGGUAGUCCACACCGUAAACGAUGAAUACUAGGUGUUAAGAGGUUUCCGCCUCUUAGUGCCGAAGCUAACGCAUUAAGUAUUCCGCCUGGGAGUACGACCGCAAGGUUGAAACUCAAAGGAAUUGACGGGGACCCGCACAAGCGUGGAGCAUGUGUUUAAUUCGAAGCAACGCGAAGAACCUUACCAGUCUUGACAUCCUUUGAGCUUCUAGAGAUAGAGUGUUCUCUUCGGAGACAAGUGACAGGUGGUGCAUGGUCGUCGUCAGCUCGUGUCGUGAGAUGUUGGGUUAAGUCCCCGCACGAGCGCAACCCUUAUUGUUAGUUGCCA